UUAUGCAAGCAGACUGUGACUUGGUUAUGUAAGAAAUUAAUAUGGAACCAUUACCUUUUCUGGCAGAACAUGUCAGCCGCACAUCACAUGUAAACAAUAUGCGUGCUGCAACGGCGGCAAUUCAUUUCAUCACUGGUAUCAAUUUUUAUUUAAAAAAUUGUUUCUGGGGUGCCCAGAUGUGACAGAAACAGCUGCUUCACUGGUUCUUAGUUUGCACUUAACUAAGUUUCUGCUUUCUAUUUCAGGACCAGGGCUGGAGAGCCUCCUGUCUUAACUGCUGAAGAACUAAGCUGGAGGAAGUGGCUUUUGAGACCUGCUUAAAAGUCCUGUUUGGCCCAGAGUCAGGUGGGACGGGCACCCCGACCGAUCUGAGACGCCAGCCCGCACUGAGCGCGCUCAGUCCAGGCCCUUUAACACAGGGAGGAUUCCGCCAGCACGGCGCCAGCCAUAAACAAGCAUAAGACCUGUUUUGUCACCACCGAUGACAUCAGUGACACACAAAGUAUCAGAAGAGAGAAGUACUCACUGCACUUCAGCCACCACCUCCUCCACGACUUCCUCUGAGUCAGCCAUGUCUGCAAGCAAACUGAGCACUGCGGAGAAUUACAGCAGUCUUGUCUGCAGCCCAACGAGCUGAUCAGGGUAGCACUGUGGCUGUCUAACAGAUGGGCUGACCAUGCAGGAAGUCCCCAGAUGGAGGCACUGUUGACAUGAAGACAGUCAGACCUCAGAAGUAGAAACUGAAGGGACGAACCGGGAUUCGAACCCUCAAGCUCAGCGUGCCAAGCAUUGGACAAUACCUUUAUGCCACCAUCGUGUUAGCGGUUGCGCGGCUGCAGCAGUGGCCUGAUGAUGAGACAACCCAAGUAUAAGCGAAACAAAGACAAAGGGGGGCUCGAACCCCCAACCUCUGCGUCCGUAGGCAAAGACAAUACCGUUGCGCCACCUUCUCUUCCGUGAAUCGGCUGGCUCUUCUGUGGGUAGAAGAAGAUGACACAACAGAAAUAUUUCCCAAAAAAAAAAAAAAAAGCUGGAACCCCCCCAGCCGUGGCUGGCUCAAAUCUGCUGGGUGUGAUGCAGUGACCGGAAGCUGAUGAGAAACGCUACCGUUAAUAAAAUUAUGCGGGACUUGAACCCUCAAGCUUCUGGUCCAGAGACCAAGUCACUAACCACUACACCACAGUGGUUUUGUUGUGUUGAAGGCUGAUUCAGUAGAUAUAAGACUUUGAUAUCACAGAAACUUUGCCUUCAUCUACUAACUGACCUGAAGGUGAUGAACCUUUUUAUCUAUGUCUUACAGCUGGUUCUUAGAGCCACAGCAGAGAGGUGAGAUAGGGGAAGAGCCAGACAGACAGAGCAGAGGGGGCAUUGAACUUGCUACCUUGGGCUUCGUGGAACAGGGUACUCUGUCUUGUGCCACAAAACCCUUCAAGAGUUCCUAGGUGCUCAUUAGUGAACUUAGUCUCAGACCCAUCAGAAAUAAACAGGAAGAGCUCAGCUUUGAAUCACACAGAUCCAAUUAGGUGCUCUCCUAAAAUGAACUCUAAGAAACUGUGGCAAAAUAUAAACUGACACCCUAACACAUUUUGGCUUCUUUAAAUAAAGCUUUUGAUUCAUUGAAGGAAUUCUGAUUCUGAUCUUAUAGGUGUGCAUGAAAGUGAUUAGUUGGUUAUAUUUUUUAUGCCUUUGAAUGUUUUCUUUCACAAGGAUGAAAAAUGAGAUUUAAUCUAGCCAGUAAUGUACUAUGGAGAACACUCAUAUUCUGUUUUUAUAAACUGCAGUGGAUAUGUAUUGGGGACAGGGCUUGUAAAUGCAUUUUAUGUUCUUUUAAAUAAUGAAAUGAAUUGUGUUUUGGAAUUUUAUUCUGCAAUUCCAUUUCAGUCUUGAAAGUUGUGCUGCCAUUGCUGAAUAAAAAUAAUGCACAAUAAGAACAGUGA
Anguilla anguilla (European eel) is the source of this 1937-nucleotide long non-coding RNA. RefSeq lists it as uncharacterized. The transcript has 4 exons. Lineage: Eukaryota; Metazoa; Chordata; Actinopteri; Anguilliformes; Anguillidae. The record is from RefSeq and is a predicted model, not a curated record.